This 462-nucleotide ribosomal RNA is filed under the name uncultured bacterium. Its description in RNAcentral is "bacterial SSU rRNA". It matches the Rfam family "Bacterial small subunit ribosomal RNA", at positions 8 to 486 of the family's 1533-position model. The record is from RNAcentral.
AGAGUUUGAUCAUGGCUCAGGACGAACGCUGGCGGCGGGCCUAACACAUGCAAGUCGAACGCACUCGACCUUCGGGUCACAUGAGUGAGUGGCGAACGGGUGAGUAACACGUGAGAAACCUGCCCCGAAGACUGGAAUAACCCGAGGAAACUCGGGCUAAUACCGGAUAUCCCCACCAGGUCGCAUGGCCAGGUGAGGAAAUGCUCAGGCGCUUCGGGAGGGUCUCGCGGCCUAUCAGCUAGUUGGUGAGGUAACGGCUCACCAAGGCAACGACGGGUAGCUGGUCUGAGAGGACGAUCAGCCACACUGGGACUGAGACACGGCCCAGACUCCUACGGGAGGCAGCAGUGGGGAAUCUUGCGCAAUGGGCGAAAGCCUGACGCAGCCACGCCGCGUGAGGGAUGAAGGCUUUCGGGUUGUAAACCUCUUUCAGCAGGGACGAAAAUGACGGUACCUGCAGAA